GAAGUACCCAAGUAGGUUGUUUUUUUUCUCACGGAUGAGUUUUUCUCAGUUCCAGUUAAGUGGUUGCAUGCGUGUUACUGCCUUAGCCAUUCAUCUAUUCAAAUGUAAUUUGGGUUUAGGUUUGUUGCAGAUUUAUACCUGGAUUUGUUCAUAAUUUUCCAGACGAUAAAUGAAGAGCAUGGAGCAGUUCCUUAUCAUUGUUCUAUUAGCAGGAGGAACACUCGCUCUCGUUCCAGUUGAUGAGACUACUUGCGACCUCAGGACAAACACAUUUCCAUGCUCUCCUAUUCUUGAAGGAACUGUGUAUAUCCAAGUGAUGAAUGAUGCUAGUGGCCGUGAAAUGAAGUGUUUGAAGGUGCUCCCCAGUGUGAACAUAACUGUGUUCAAUCUGAAGAAAGGAAAAAUAACGAUAGACAAGGAAUUUAGCAACAGACUACAGUUUCUAAUCAAGAACGGGACACUCAAGAUCACAAACCUGAGGAGGAAUGAUUCAGGUCAAUACAGCAUUGAGGUCUUUAAUUCAGAUGGAGUUCAAGAGAAAAACAUUCUUUUCACCCUGGAUGUUAAAGACAAUGGCGAAGUUGAAGCUCUGGUUCCAGUUGAUGAGACUACUUGUGACCUCAGGACGAACACAUGCCCGUGCUUUCCUCUUCUUAAAGGAACUGUGUAUAUCCAAGUGAUGACUGAUGCCAGUGGCCAUGAAAUGAAGUGUUUGAAGGUGCUUCCCAAGGGAAACACAACUGUUUUCAAUCUGAAGAAAGGAAAAAUAACGACAGACAAGGAAUUUAACAACAGACUACAGUUUCUAAUCAAGAACGGGACACUCAAGAUCACAAACCUGAGGAGGAAUGAUUCAGGUCGAUACAGCAUUGAGGUCUUUAAUUCCAAUGGAGUCCUAGAGAAAAAUAUUCAUUUCACCCUGGAUGUUAAAGACAAUGGCAACGUUGAAGCUCUCGUUACAGAUGAUGAGACCACUUGUGACCUCAGGACAAACACAUGUCCAUGCUCUCCUAUUUUUGAAGGAACUGUGUAUAUCCAAGUGAUGAAUGAUGCUAGUGGCCGUGAAAUGAAGUGUUUGAAGGUGCUUCCCAAGGGGAACAUAACUGUGUUCAAUCUGAAGAAAGGAAAAAUAAUGAUAGACAAGGAAUUUAACAACAGACUAACAUUUAUAAUCAAGAACGGGACACUCAAGAUCACAAACGUGAGGAGGAAUGAUUCAGGUCAAUACAGCAUUGAGGUCUUUAAUUCAAAUGGAGUUCAAGAGAAAAACAUUCAUUUCACCCUGGAUGUUAAGGACAAUGGCAAAGUUGAAGCUCCUGUGUCCUCUGUCCUGCUGGUCUCUGAGUGUCAGUCCCAGGGAGAGAUGAGGGUGUCCUGCUCCUCUGAGGGAGGGGACAGUCCUCAGUACAGCUGGACUCUGGAUGGACGCACACUGACAGAUGCUGAGCUCCUUCCUGGAAAUAAUGAGAGUAACAUCAUCACUCUGAAACAGCACGUCUCAGGACAUCUGGUCUGCUCAGUCAGGAACAACGUCAGUGAUGCCUUCAAAGAAGAGAUGAUAUCUACCUGUGGUGAGUGAGAACAAUACUGAUAAAAGCUGAUUCUUAGUGUAAUUUUUUUUUAAGUUAUCUCUUUAUCUGCUCAUAGGCUUUGUUUUCAUCAGCUGCUCAUUAUUUAAUGGGACACAGAUGUCAGGGUGGGUGCAUAAGUCCAGUAAUACCCUUUGUCCAGAACCAACAGGAGACCCUACCACAGCCACACAGACUGCAGUAGGUACUUCCUGGUUCAUGUUUGGUUUGAAAGCCACUGUGGUAAUUAUAUCAUUAAGUGGGAUUUCGCUCUAUUUCGCUUGGAAGAAAAAAACAAUAUUGGAAGGCUCUGCUGUCUCACAAAGGAUGGAAUCUCCAGAUAACUCUGUUUUGAUGAUUGCAUUGAGUUCUCACUCCAACACAUAGUGCCACCUUUCACCUGUUGUACAUUUCUCAUGUGUCCUUAUAGGCUUGUAAAUAAGGAUUAGUGGUCGUUUUUUCAUUCCACAUUUUAUUCACAGCUUAGUAUAUUUUUAGUAUAUGUCAAUAUGUUUUUUGUGUUUUUAUUAUUCAAGAACAGCAAUCCAGCAAAAUAUAAUAGAAGUGGAAAAUCAGAGAAAGAUCUUUGUCUCCUUCUUUCAUGUAUUGUUUAUUUUUGCAAUUGUAUUUCAUCUGUCUACUUGAAAUAUAUUCCAAAAAGACAUUAAGCACAUAUGUUAGUAUUUUUUGUCACAGUGGCUGUGUGGGUGGCAGAGAUUGGACACAAAUCCGACUUUUUUGACCCUAUGCAACCUAUAUCCGAUCAUGGUAUGACAGUAUGAACAGCACAAAUCUGAUAUUUUCAAAUCCGACCUGGGUCACUUUUGUAUGUGGUACUGAGUCCGAUACAUAUCUGAUGUUUUAGAAAGCGACUGCUGUUUGAAUGGUCAUGUCGCAUUAAAUCCGUCUUUUACGUCACUAACACAAGACAGACACUGAUUAUCAGCACCAGAGAAGACAAACGAGAAAGCAUGGCGGCGGAAACUGGAGAUGGAGGGAGUCAAUGGACAGAAACUGAGGUUUUGGACUUGAUUAGCGUAUGGGGAGACAAUUCUGUUCAAGCUAAAUUUGUAGGGUCGUAUCGUAACUGGGCUGUGUUCGGGUGCAUUGCCAAAGAAAUGGUUGAACGAGGGCACAGGCCAGCGUGGCCACAGUGUCAGAGGAUAGUGAAGAGCCUCAGAGCCAACUUUAAAGAAGCUAAAGAUAUAAACAAAUGUAGUCGGACGUGGUCGACCACAUUUUGUUCUUUCUCAAAAGUAUAUGUGAAGAUCAUUCUAAACUACAGAUGUGUGUGAAAGUGUACUAUAGGGAAGGGUCAGAAUAUAAGCAAGAAGAAAAAUACAGAGGCUCGUGGUAAAAGCUGCAUCUGAGCUUGUGGUUUGUGUAGUGACCCUUACUGCUGUUUCAUUUCUUUGUGGUUACAAUGACAAUCUUCUCUUUUUUGUUGAAACCUAACAUCUAACCUCAACAAAUAGAACUUUAAAAGUCACUGAGCAACACAACAAUCACUAAUGUCUGUACAUGUGUUUUGAGCACGAAGGCUCAGAUGUAUCAAAUAAAAUAUUUAUAGCUUAAUUAUACAUUAUAAUGACUGUCAUGUCUGUGUUAAACUGGCAUCAAUUUGUUUGUAAACUUCUCUUUUGGGUUACAUUCAUUUAAAAGAAAAUAUUACAGUCUCAGUGAAACUGCAUAAUUAGUUGGAGAAUAAAAUGACACC
Oreochromis aureus is the source of this 3285-nucleotide long non-coding RNA. NCBI's taxonomy places the organism in Eukaryota, Metazoa, Chordata, Actinopteri, Cichliformes, Cichlidae. The record is from Ensembl.